GUCAAACAUUGCGCAUGCUCAAGAUUGAAAACCAAGAUGGCGGACGUUCUACCACAUGGAAGCAUAAACAAGAGAGGAAAAUGGGAGAAAAGUGCACUUUAAUUUCUUGCCAUUGAGUAAUGUUUAUAAUCUAAAGAAAGAGAAAAGGUUCCUUUCGCCCCUGAUCAUUUAUUUUACCGAUCUAUGCUUCAGCGACUUUUAUAAGGGAUGCGAAACGAAGCGGAGUGCAGCUUUACCAACAAGGGCACCAAAAGUUCCAUGCAAAUGGCUAUCAAGGAGAAGCACUUCAUUCCCUCUUCCAAGGAAACAUACAGAUAAGCCAUUGAUUAUUACGAUUGCAGCGAUAUUGGGUUCUCUCACUAGACGCUGGAGGUAGAACCUAAGUGAUGACUGUGGGACUUGUGGAUUCUGACACACAAAGUCUACAUCAAAGGAGUCUUCUACCGUGAUUGUGCCAAUUGAAGAUAGAUGCACAGCAGCAUCUUGAACACUGAAAUUAAUAGCCCGGCCUCCUGUGACUUGUUGGUGAACUCUAUUUCCAUGAGAAAUGCAAUUACACAUAAUCACUCCCCAAACUGGUGACAACUGGGCAAUUGGAAAUGCAAGUGUUCCUAAAUUAGAAAUGACUGUUUUGGCUAAAAUAAUAGCAAUAAAAGUGCAGGCAUUUGA
Molecule: long non-coding RNA, 669 nt
Organism: Nematostella vectensis (starlet sea anemone)
Lineage: Eukaryota; Metazoa; Cnidaria; Anthozoa; Actiniaria; Edwardsiidae
Exons: 2
Source: RefSeq, a predicted model, not a curated record